AAAGACUGCAGUUUUAAAUUGUUUAUAUCCAAUGUUUGACCGUCCGUUUUAUUUGAAAAACUUUUAUGAUUAGUAUUUUUAUUGUUAUUAAAUGAUAAAACAUUAAUAGUGUUUUAUGUGUGAUUUUUUUAAAAUUUUCAUAAUUUUUUUAAAAAUAAGAUGAACGGUCAAACGUUGGACACGAAAAUCUACAACUGCACUUAAA
Non-coding RNA from Oryza punctata, 205 nucleotides. The record is from Rfam. NCBI's taxonomy places the organism in Eukaryota, Viridiplantae, Streptophyta, Magnoliopsida, Poales, Poaceae.